RNAcentral lists this long non-coding RNA (456 nucleotides) under Homo sapiens (human). Its description in RNAcentral is "non-protein coding lnc-JMJD1C-2:3". The record is from RNAcentral. Lineage: Eukaryota; Metazoa; Chordata; Mammalia; Primates; Hominidae.
GCUGCGCAGUGGGAGUUGUAGCCAUGGGAACAACCUAGGGACCUGGCAAGGAAAGACUAGGCCAGACCUUAGCACCCCCUGUCAGGGACUUCCUGCUGGUUAAUCCUGCUUCCUCUGCCAGCAGGAAGUCAGCUAGCAAAGAAGCCCCAAUGAUAUAGUCUACAGCAGGCAGCCUGCCAGGGUGCAGAGCAGGGUAGAAAAUGGAUCGGAAGGGCAAAGGUGAGGUAGAGUUGGGAGACUUACCUGAGGUCACAUAGUCAGCUUCACCUGAUUGUCAGGAAAGUAACCCUGUGAACCCUAGCUGGGGAGAAGAACCUAAAGGCAAGAGAGAGAACCGUUCUAUAGGACCCGGGAGGAUUUGCCAUCAUCUGAAGGAAGAUGAGAAAACUGAAAUUUGGAGCAACAUACCCAGUACAUGCAGUGGAUGAGUAACAGUGAUAUGGUUUGGCUGUGUCC